This 207-nucleotide ribosomal RNA is filed under the name uncultured bacterium. RNAcentral describes it as "partial 16S ribosomal RNA". It matches the Rfam family "Bacterial small subunit ribosomal RNA", at positions 568 to 774 of the family's 1533-position model. The record is from RNAcentral.
CAUGUAGGCGGUUUUGCAAGCUUGAUGUGAAAGGCAGGGGCUCAACCCCUGGACUGCGUUGAGAACUGCAUGACUAGAGUAACUGAGGGGCAGCCGGAAUUCCAGGUGUAGGGGUGAAAUCUGUAGAUAUCUGGAAGAACACCAAUGGCGAAGGCAGGCUACCAGCAGAUUACUGACGCUGAGGUGCGAAGGUGCGGGGAGCAAACA